Heterocephalus glaber (naked mole-rat) is the source of this 979-nucleotide non-coding RNA. The record is from RefSeq and is a predicted model, not a curated record. NCBI's taxonomy places the organism in Eukaryota, Metazoa, Chordata, Mammalia, Rodentia, Bathyergidae.
ACUAAGAUCAGUUCUUAUCUCUAUGAUAAGUUCAUAGAGGUGAACAUAAGUUCACCUGUAACAAUCAAGAAAUAAUUGAUCGAGCUCCCUUUUGAGGGAAAUAUGCUAGAAAAGCCUUUUGGAAACUGGUACAAUCAUGCAGGCUACAGUGGCAACCUGGAUCUUAAUUUGUUAACAACCACCAGUCACCGGGGGAAAAAACAUAACGAUAAAGUAGCUAAUAAGUAAGAAAACUCAUGUUUCAUGCCAAGCAGUUAGUUAUGUGGGAAACUAAUAGGAGGUUGACCUGUAUCAUCGCCAACAUUGCUGGGGAAGUGAAGGGAUGAGGGAGUAUCUGAUGUUGCAUUUAUUGAUUUAUAUUUCAUGUUGUUAGGUGGCAAAGACUCUGGCCCAUUGUUUUCACCAGUUCCAAGGUAGGGGGGUCCCUCUCACGGUGGAUCUGCUGCAGGAUGGCAUCUUCGUCCCACUGUUCCAAACACUCUGAAUGGCCACACGGGAUGCAGGGACAGGCCGAGAGAAGACUCACUGUGAUGAGAUGGGCUACAGGAAGAGUUUCUAGUAGACAGGACUUUUCUGAUCUGUAAGAGAAAAGAGUUACUAAAUUAACAGACUGAAAGCAGAGGAUCAAGAGUAAAUUCAGAAGAAAAGAAAAGCUUCCUCUCUGUUGAUCCGCGUGUGUGUGUGUGUGUGUGUGUGUAUGUGUGCGCGUGCGCACCCGUGUGCAUGCACGCGCAUUUUAACUCUGGUCUGCAGGAGAGACAAAAAAGACAUGCAUCUUGUUUGUUGCUGCUGCUGGAACCCAGAGAGCUGACUCUGUGCUGUCUUUGGAACAUUCACCCUCCUGAACUGCCGUGAAGCUGAUUCUGAUGGGGUUGGAGAAAGAUAAGAUUAUAAAAGCAUUGUCUUAAACUCAACUUUGGAAGUUCUCUCUCACUGCUUUCCCAAUCUUUCAUGUCAUAAAGAGCUAUUUCAAACUUUG